RNAcentral lists this ribosomal RNA (1029 nucleotides) under Rubroshiraia bambusae. Its description in RNAcentral is "SSU rRNA". It matches the Rfam family "Eukaryotic small subunit ribosomal RNA", at positions 75 to 1111 of the family's 1831-position model. Lineage: Eukaryota; Fungi; Ascomycota; Dothideomycetes; Pleosporales; Shiraiaceae. The record is from RNAcentral.
UAUACCGUGAAACUGCGAAUGGCUCAUUAAAUCAGUUAUCGUUUAUUUGAUAGUACCUUACUACUUGGACAACCGUGGUAAUUCUAGAGCUAAUACAUGCUGACAACCUCGACUUACGAAGAGGUGUAUUUAUUAGAUAAAAAACCCAACGCCUUUCGGGGCUUCUUUGGUGAUUCAUAAUAACUUUACGGAUCGCAUGGCCUUGCGCCGGGCGACGGUUCAUUCAAAUUUCUGCCCUAUCAACUUUCGAUGGUAAGGUAUUGGCUUACCAUGGUUUCAACGGGUAACGGGGAAUUAGGGUUCGAUUCCGGAGAGGGAGCCCGAGAAACGGCUACCACAUCCAAGGAAGGCAGCAGGCGCGCAAAUUACCCAAUCCCGAUACGGGGAGGUAGUGACAAUAAAUACUGAUACAGGGCUCUUUUGGGUCUUGUAAUUGGAAUGAGUACAAUUUAAACCUCUUAACGAGGAACAAUUGGAGGGCAAGUCUGGUGCCAGCAGCCGCGGUAAUUCCAGCUCCAAUAGCGUAUAUUAAAGUUGUUGCAGUUAAAAAGCUCGUAGUUGAACCUUGGGUCUGGCUGGCAGGUCCGCCUCACCGCGUGUACUUGUCCGGCCGGGCCUUCCUUCUGGAGAACCUCAUGCCCUUCACUGGGCGUGUUGGGGACCAGGACUUUUACUUUGAAAAAAUUAGAGUGUUCAAAGCAGGCCUUUGCUCGAAUACGUUAGCAUGGAAUAAUAGAAUAGGACGUGCGGUCCUAUUUUGUUGGUUUCUAGGACCGCCGUAAUGAUUAAUAGGGACAGUCGGGGGCAUCAGUAUUCAAUUGUCAGAGGUGAAAUUCUUGGAUUUAUUGAAGACUAACUACUGCGAAAGCAUUUGCCAAGGAUGUUUUCAUUAAUCAGUGAACGAAAGUUAGGGGAUCGAAGACGAUCAGAUACCGUCGUAGUCUUAACCGUAAACUAUGCCGACUAGGGAUCGGGCGAUGUUAUUUUUCUGACUCGCUCGGCACCUUACGAGAAAUCAAAGUUUUUGGG